UAGGGAAUCUUCCGCAAUGGGCGAAAGCCUGACGGAGCAACGCCGCGUGAGUGAUGAAGGUCUUCGGAUCGUAAAACUCUGUUAUUAGGGAAGAACAAAUGUGUAAGUAACUAUGCACGUCUUGACGGUACCUAAUCAGAAAGCCACGGCUAACUACGUGCCAGCAGCCGCGGUAAUACGUAGGUGGCAAGCGUUAUCCGGAAUUAUUGGGCGUAAAGCGCGCGUAGGCGGUUUUUUAAGUCUGAUGUGAAAGCCCACGGCUCAACCGUGGAGGGUCAUUGGAAACUGGAAAACUUGAGUGCAGAAGAGGAAAGUGGAAUUCCAUGUUUAGCGGUGAAAUGCGCAGAGAUAUGGAGGAACACCAGUGGCGAAGGCGACUUUCUGGUCUGUAACUGACGCUGAUGUGCGAAAGCGUGGGGAUCAAACAGG
This 429-nucleotide ribosomal RNA is filed under the name Actinomycetes bacterium. RNAcentral describes it as "Actinobacteria bacterium partial 16S ribosomal RNA". It matches the Rfam family "Bacterial small subunit ribosomal RNA", at positions 355 to 776 of the family's 1533-position model. Lineage: Bacteria; Bacillati; Actinomycetota; Actinomycetes. The record is from RNAcentral.